GUCUUGUACACACCGCCCGUCACACCAUGGGAGUGGGUUUUACCAGAAGUGGCUAGUCUAACCGCAAGGAGGACGGUCACCACGGUAGGAUUCAUGACUGGGGUGAAGUCGUAACAAGGUAGCCGUAUCGGAAGGUGCGGCUGGAUCACCUCCUUUCCAGAGCUAUCUCGCGAAGUUGAGCGCUCACGCUUAUCGGCUGUAAAUUUAAAGACAGACUCAGGG
RNAcentral lists this ribosomal RNA (222 nucleotides) under Mumia flava. Its description in RNAcentral is "partial 16S ribosomal RNA". The stretch from base 1 to 156 matches the Rfam family "Bacterial small subunit ribosomal RNA", at positions 1378 to 1533 of the family's 1533-position model. The record is from RNAcentral. Lineage: Bacteria; Bacillati; Actinomycetota; Actinomycetes; Propionibacteriales; Nocardioidaceae.